RNAcentral lists this unclassified non-coding RNA (260 nucleotides) under uncultured Hypocreales. Its description in RNAcentral is "sequence contains 5.8S rRNA gene, ITS2, 28S rRNA gene". The stretch from base 1 to 52 matches the Rfam family "5.8S ribosomal RNA", at positions 103 to 154 of the family's 154-position model. Lineage: Eukaryota; Fungi; Ascomycota; Sordariomycetes; Hypocreales. The record is from RNAcentral.
AACGCACAUUGCGCCCGCCAGUAUUCUGGCGGGCAUGCCUGUUCGAGCGUCAUUUCAACCCUCAAGCCCCCGGGCUUGGUGUUGGGGCUCGGCCCGUCCCUAGCGGAUGCGCCGUCCCCGAAAUCUAGUGGCGGUCUCGCUGUAGCCUCCUCUGCGUAGUAGCUAACACCUCGCAACGGGAACGCAGCGCGGCCACGCCGUUAAACCCCCCACUUCUGAAGGUUGACCUCGGAUCAGGUAGGAAUACCCGCUGAACUUAA